Molecule: long non-coding RNA, 1137 nt
Organism: Carassius gibelio (silver crucian carp)
Lineage: Eukaryota; Metazoa; Chordata; Actinopteri; Cypriniformes; Cyprinidae
Exons: 4
Source: RefSeq, a predicted model, not a curated record
AAAUAUGACCGUUAUUGUCGUCUUUCUGUGAGUGAGGCGGAUAACUGUGAGCUGCUGCUCGUUAUAACUGACUGCUCGGUCGGUCCCGAAUUAUUUCAUAUUUGCCUGUACAUUUUUUUAUUUAUUUUGAGCGAAUUUGAGUCGUGACAUGUCAAUGGAGAACAAAAACUGUGAACACAAGAAGGGUCAGGUGUUCUGCGAGGUCCUGAAAACAUACUGGCAAAAUGAGAGACACCCAAUGUGUUGCUGAGUCAUCGAGGAUCCAGCUUGUUCUUGAAACAUUGAAGUUUGCCCUCUGCAAGUGAACUUUUCCUGGACUGUGCCCAGCUGGUGGAAUGACCUCCCAAUCUCAAUCCGAACUGCUGAGUCUUUACUCAUUUUCAAGAAACAUUUUAAGACUCAUCUUUUUCACCGGAACUUAACCAACUAAUGCUAGCACUUUUCCUUCUUUUCUUGUCUUUCAUAUUUAAAAAAAUAUAUAUAAAAAACCUGGCUAUGCGUUCUGUACUAGACUAACUGAGACUUGUCAUGGCACUUGUUUACUGUUGUUGUUUGCUUGUACACCUGACUGCUUCUGUUGUUCUUAUUUGUAAGUCGCUUUGGAUAAAAGCGUCUGUUAAAUGAUUAAAUGUAAAUGUUUAUACAGGACGGUACAGAAAGUGCACAAGUGGGAGAGAGUGGAGGGGAUGGCAUCAGAAAGGACCUAGCGCUGGGACACUUUCAAGGAUCACCCGAAGCACACUGUAUACACUAAGGCUGCUGGUUCUAACAUUUUAGAGUGCCCUGCGGUAGAAAUCUCAUUCUGCAUGCCCCACGGUAAAGAAGACACAGUCCGGGGGGGUUCCCAUUAGAAAUCAACUGGUGGAAGGUUCCCUGCUCGUACUGUGCAACACAUUUUCACUGCACAAAUGUACACAACUCUUGUAAUGAGACACAAUACUAAAACAUGUUUUUGACAUAAACUAGUUUUCCACCCAAAUAAAAGAUCCACUGGUUUCAGUCAUAAAGGUACAAGGGUUUGUCUUGUAAGUGCUGCAAAAAAUAUGCAUUUAUGUGCCAAUUCUUUUUUACAAAAACCUUUAAAUAUUAUUGUAUUUGGAUUGUUCUACUCCAUGUUGUUAGCAUUACCUCCAUGCA